GAUGAACGCUGGCGGCGUGCUUAACACAUGCAAGUCGAACGAAGCACUUAAGAAUGAUUCUUCGGAUGAAUUUUUUUGUGACUUAGUGGCGGACGGGUGAGUAACGCGUGGGUAACCUGCCUCACACAGGGGGAUAACAGUUGGAAACGACCGCUAAUACCGCAUAACCCGCUAGGGCCGCAUGGCCCGGACGGAAAAGAUUUAUCGGUGUGAGAUGGACCCGCGUUGGAUUAGCUAGUUGGCAGGGUAACGGCCUACCAAGGCGACGAUCCAUAGCCGGCCUGAGAGGGUGAACGGCCACAUUGGGACUGAGACACGGCCCAAACUCCUACGGGAGGCAGCAGUGGGGAAUAUUGCACAAUGGGGGAAACCCUGAUGCAGCGACGCCGCGUGAGUGAAGAAGUAUUUCGGUAUGUAAAGCUCUAUCAGCAGGGAAGAAAAUGACGG
Molecule: ribosomal RNA, 447 nt
Filed under: uncultured bacterium
Lineage: Bacteria
Description: bacterial SSU rRNA
Rfam family: Bacterial small subunit ribosomal RNA
Source: RNAcentral